RNAcentral lists this transfer RNA (75 nucleotides) under Alphaproteobacteria bacterium. Its description in RNAcentral is "tRNA-Pro". It matches the Rfam family "tRNA". Rfam says of the family: Transfer RNA (tRNA) molecules are approximately 80 nucleotides in length. The record is from RNAcentral. RNAcentral also lists the same sequence under 1 other name. Lineage: Bacteria; Pseudomonadati; Pseudomonadota; Alphaproteobacteria.
CGGGAAGUGGCGCAGCCCGGCUAGCGCACCUGGUUUGGGACCAGGGGGUCGCAGGUUCGAAUCCUGUCUUCCCGA